This 381-nucleotide ribosomal RNA is filed under the name uncultured bacterium. Its description in RNAcentral is "bacterial SSU rRNA". It matches the Rfam family "Bacterial small subunit ribosomal RNA", at positions 29 to 409 of the family's 1533-position model. The record is from RNAcentral.
AUUGAACGCUGGCGGCGUGCCUAACACAUGCAAGUCGAGCGGUAACAGGUGUAGCAAUACAUGCUGACGAGCGGCGGACGGGUGAGUAACGCUUGGGAAUCUGCCUAUUAGUGGGGGACAACCCGGGGAAACUCGGGCUAAUACCGCAUACGCUCUACGGAGGAAAGCCGGGGACCGCAAGGCCUGGCGCUAAUAGAUGAGCCCAAGUCGGAUUAGCUAGUUGGUAGGGAAUGGCCUACCAAGGCGACGAUCCGUAACUGGUCUGAGAGGACGACCAGUCACACCGGAAACUGAGACACGGUCCGGACUCCUACGGGAGGCAGCAGUGGGGAAUAUUGGACAAUGGGCGAAAGCCUGAUCCAGCGACGCCGCGUGGGUGAA